UACACUCCUACGGGAGGCAGCAGUGGGGAAUAUUGCACAAUGGGCGCAAGCCUGAUGCAGCCAUGCCGCGUGUAUGAAGAAGGCCUUCGGGUUGUAAAGUACUUUCAGCGGGGAGGAAGGCAAUACGGUUAAUAACCGUGUUGAUUGACGUUACCCGCAGAAGAAGCACCGGCUAACUCCGUGCCAGCAGCCGCGGUAAUACGGAGGGUGCAAGCGUUAAUCGGAAUUACUGGGCGUAAAGCGCACGCAGGCGGUCUGUCAAGUCGGAUGUGAAAUCCCCGGGCUCAACCUGGGAACUGCAUUCGAAACUGGCAGGCUUGAGUCUUGUAGAGGGGGGUAGAAUUCCAGGUGUAGCGGUGAAAUGCGUAGAGAUCUGGAGGAAUACCGGUGGCGAAGGCGGCCCCCUGGACAAAGACUGACGCUCAGGUGCGAAAGCGUGGGGAGCAAACAGGAUUAGAAACCCCAGUAGUCCCAUG
This 476-nucleotide ribosomal RNA is filed under the name uncultured organism. RNAcentral's name for it is "partial 16S ribosomal RNA". It matches the Rfam family "Bacterial small subunit ribosomal RNA", at positions 332 to 799 of the family's 1533-position model. The record is from RNAcentral.